CCUAAUACAUGCAAGUCGAACGAACUCUGGUAUUGAUUGGUGGUAUUGAUUGGUGCUUGCAUCAUGAUUUACAUUUGAGUGAGUGGCGAACUGGUGAGUAACACGUGGGAAACCUGCCCAGAAGCGGGGGAUAACACCUGGAAACAGAUGCUAAUACCGCAUAACAACUUGGACCGCAUGGUCCGAGCUUGAAAGAUGGCUUCGGCUAUCACUUUUGGAUGGUCCCGCGGCGUAUUAGCUAGAUGGUGGGGUAACGGCUCACCAUGGCAAUGAUACGUAGCCGACCUGAGAGGGUAAUCGGCCACAUUGGGACUGAGACACGGCCCAAACUCCUACGGGAGGCAGCAGUAGGGAAUCUUCCACAAUGGACGAAAGUCUGAUGGAGCAACGCCGCGUGAGUGAAGAAGGGUUUCGGCUCGUAAAACUCUGUUGUUAAAGAAGAACAUAUCUGAGAGUAACUGUUCAGGUAUUGACGGUAUUUAACCAGAAAGCCACGGCUAACUACGUGCCAGCAGCCGCGGUAAUACGUAGGUGGCAAGCGUUGUCCGGAUUUAUUGGGCGUAAAGCGAGCGCAGGCGGUUUUUUAAGUCUGAUGUGAAAGCCUUCGGCUCAACCGAAGAAGUGCAUCGGAAACUGGGAAACUUGAGUGCAGAAGAGGACAGUGGAACUCCAUGUGUAGCGGUGAAAUGCGUAGAUAUAUGGAAGAACACCAGUGGCGAAGGCGGCUGUCUGGUCUGCAACUGACGCUGAGGCUCGAAAGUAUGGGUAGCAAACAGGAUUAGAUACCCUGGUAGUCCAUACCGUAAACGAUGAAUGCUAAGUGUUGGAGGGUUUCCGCCCUUCAGUGCUGCAGCUAACGCAUUAAGCAUUCCGCCUGGGGAGUACGGCCGCAAGGCUGAAACUCAAAGGAAUUGACGGGGGCCCGCACAAGCGGUGGAGCAUGUGGUUUAAUUCGAAGCUACGCGAAGAACCUUACCAGGUCUUGACAUACUAUGCAAAUCUAAGAGAUUAGACGUUCCCUUCGGGGACAUGGAUACAGGUGGUGCAUGGUUGUCGUCAGCUCGUGUCGUGAGAUGUUGGGUUAAGUCCCGCAACGAGCGCAACCCUUAUUAUCAGUUGCCAGCAUUAAGUUGGGCACUCUGGUGAGACUGCCGGUGACAAACCGGAGGAAGGUGGGGAUGACGUCAAAUCAUCAUGCCCCUUAUGACCUGGGCUACACACGUGCUACAAUGGAUGGUACAACGAGUUGCGAACUCGCGAGAGUAAGCUAAUCUCUUAAAGCCAUUCUCAGUUCGGAUUGUAGGCUGCAACUCGCCUACAUGAAGUCGGAAUCGCUAGUAAUCGCGGAUCAGCAUGCCGCGGUGAAUACGUUCCCGGGCCUUGUACACACCGCCCGUCACACCAUGAGAGUUUGUAACACCCAAAGUCGGUGGGGUAACCUUUUAGGAACCAGCCGCCUAAGGUGGGACAGAUGAUUAGGGUGAU
Molecule: ribosomal RNA, 1485 nt
Filed under: Lactiplantibacillus plantarum
Lineage: Bacteria; Bacillati; Bacillota; Bacilli; Lactobacillales; Lactobacillaceae
Description: bacterial SSU rRNA
Rfam family: Bacterial small subunit ribosomal RNA
Source: RNAcentral